This is a long non-coding RNA of Pectinophora gossypiella (pink bollworm), 1259 nucleotides long. RefSeq lists it as uncharacterized. The record is from RefSeq and is a predicted model, not a curated record. Lineage: Eukaryota; Metazoa; Arthropoda; Insecta; Lepidoptera; Gelechiidae. The transcript is spliced from 4 exons.
GCGAUAUAACGUUGUUUUUAUAUUUUACCCACAGGACAUCACAGAUGGCGCUGCAGGGUUAUCGAUGGGCCCGAACAUUUUAAUAAUUUUCUUUUCGUUUUUCUAAAUUUGGUAUAUUUAAUUAUCUGCAACAUUUAUUGAAAUUAUAUUAUAUUUUAUUUAGGUUUUGGAUCAAACAAGUCGAUCGAUUGUUGUCGUUGAUUCGGCGAAUUUAUGGUUUGGUAGAUUUUUAUUUUGAUUGGCAACAUUGUUGGUUCGUGUGUCAGACUGACAGCUGGCUGAGCUGAGAGACAGGUUUUGGAAAGUGGGGACGUCGCGAGAGCGCCGGAGACUCCAUUGCCGAAACCCAAAUGUGGGCAAAUUAAAGCCACAAUGUAUUGGCGGCAUCAAGAGCCGAUGUAACCAUUUAUAUAAAUAACUUAACUGAGAUGCAACAUCACUGAAAUCCCAUCGCCUAAGGUCCAGUGGGUGGGUUUAGGUUUCAUCCGAGCGAUGCCCAACUAUCCCGGAUGAACCUAUGGGGUUUUUGUUUUCUUUAAAGUUUUAACGUUUUAAUUUUCUAACGUUUUGCAAGUUUAAUGUAAGAAGAAGUUUAUGAUUGGAUCAGAUGAUUUCAACAAUGUUUUGUGAAUGAAGAUUCCUACUGUUUUCUUCUGCGUUUGCAAGUUAUUUCAAGCUUCUUUACGGCGGAGCUUGCCUUGGUUGUUUGCACAUGGAAGCUUUUCUUUGUGCGGCGCGCAUGUGGAUGUGCCGCGCCUCUCCUUUUGUCAACACACCGGAUAAGGCCCGGUGAAGGUCUGCGAGGUUGACCGGUGGACGUGCAGCCCGCCAGCUGCGUAACAGUUGGCCCGCUGCGCCGCCAUCGUCCAGCACGCCCUGGCCUGAGCCGGCCUCAACUCAUCACCUGUACGGUAUUCCGGGACGCCUCAGGACCUUUGGGCUUACCUUUGGUCUGUUCCUCACUGGAGGCAGCAGGCUUGUCCUUAGCGGGUUCAGCCAGAACUUCGUGCGAGUGUUCGAGACUGUUCUCAUUGCUCCCCUCGCGGAUGGUGUGCGGGUCGUCGUAGUGAUGCGACCCUGACGAACUCUCUUGCGACGACAAUUGCCCGAGAGAGGAAUGCUUCGCCGUCUUCGAUAUCUUCGCAUUUCUUGAAAACGCUUUCGUGAAUGACGAGCGUAACUGUUGACACGAAAACUAUGUAUUAGAAAAAAUAUAUUGAAAGAAAAAUGAGGGCACUAUAAUCGUGCCUAAUUUGUAA